GACGAACGCUGGCGGCGUGCCUAAUACAUGCAAGUCGAACGCACAGUCUAUACCGUCGCUCGCUACACGAUAGACUGUGAGUUGCGAACGGGUGAGUCACGCGUAGGUAAUCUGCCUGGUAGCGUGUGAUAAGUAAUGUUAACGUUAGCUAAUAUCGCAUAAUAUUAAUUAUUCCAUGGUACUUAAGUGAAUGGUGCAAUUGCACCACUACCAGCUGGUUCUGUGUUGUAUUAGCUAGUAGGUGAGGUAACGGCUCACCUAUGCGGAGAUACAUAGCCGACCUGGGAGGGUGAUCGGCCACACUGGGAAUGGGGCAAGGCCCAGACUCCUACGGGAGGGAGCAGUAGGGGAACAUCGGCAAAGGAGGGAAGUCUGAACGAACAACGACGGGGGGGUGGAGGAAGUUCUCGGGUCUGAAAGCUCUGUUGUUUGGGAAGGAAAGGUGUGAGGGUGGAAAGUUCACAUUGUGACGGUACCUAAACAAAAAGGAACGGCUAACUACGUG
RNAcentral lists this ribosomal RNA (505 nucleotides) under uncultured bacterium. RNAcentral describes it as "partial 16S ribosomal RNA". It matches the Rfam family "Bacterial small subunit ribosomal RNA", at positions 28 to 507 of the family's 1533-position model. The record is from RNAcentral.